This 94-nucleotide signal recognition particle RNA is filed under the name Bacteroidales bacterium. RNAcentral's name for it is "signal recognition particle sRNA small type". It matches the Rfam family "Bacteroidales small SRP", at positions 8 to 100 of the family's 107-position model. From Rfam's summary of the family: The non-coding component of the signal recognition particle in Bacteroides The record is from RNAcentral. Lineage: Bacteria; Pseudomonadati; Bacteroidota; Bacteroidia; Bacteroidales.
GGGUAAGUCUUGCACGACCAGCUCCCUUUGAAUUCCCCCAGGGUCGGAAGGCAGCAAGGGUAAAAGGUUGUAGCGGUGCGAUGCAAUCCGCUUA